This 372-nucleotide ribosomal RNA is filed under the name uncultured bacterium. Its description in RNAcentral is "bacterial SSU rRNA". It matches the Rfam family "Bacterial small subunit ribosomal RNA", at positions 527 to 896 of the family's 1533-position model. The record is from RNAcentral.
AGGGGGUGCGAGGGUUGUUUGGAACUCCCGGGGGUAAAGGCGCGUCAGGGGGCUUUCUAAGUUCGUCGGUGAAAGACCGGGGCUCAACCCCGUGUCAGCCAUGGAUACUGAGAGGCUGGAGACAGGUAGAGGCAAGCGGAAUUCCUGGUGUAGCGGUGGAAUGCGUAGAGAUCGGGAAGAACACCGGAGGCGAAGGCGGCCUUCUGGACCUGGUCUGACGCUGAGGCGCGAAAGCGUGGGGAGCAAACAGGAUUAGAUACCCUGGUAGUCCACGCCGUAAACGAUGGGCACUAGCCGUGGGGGGGAUCGACCCCUUCAGUGCCGAAGCUAACGCAAUAAGUGCCCCGCCUGGGGAGUACGGCCGCAAGGCUG